Molecule: long non-coding RNA, 889 nt
Organism: Thamnophis sirtalis
Lineage: Eukaryota; Metazoa; Chordata; Lepidosauria; Squamata; Natricidae
Source: RefSeq, a predicted model, not a curated record
CUUCGCGGAGAGACGGCAAAGACAGGCAGAGAGGCUUCCCUCACACACUCGCUCGCACACGGCGCAAGAUGGCCGGGCGGACGGCUGCUUCGCGAGCGGCUGCGGCUUUUUUUACCCCCACCUCCGUUCUCUCCCUCCAACCUUCCCGGGCCGAAAGCGGCCUCAGGGUCGGGGGGUCUCCGCCGAUCCGGGGGGUUCGAGCUUGUGGGGUGGUGGAAAGUAUAGCCUGUCCCGGUUGAGGCGGACCCGAGAACGAGCCUCUGCGGCAAGGCGAGCCCUCGGUGUCUGCCGCCGCCCGCCCUCCGGGAUGUCCUCGGCUCGACUCGCCUGGCUUCUCUCGCCCCUCAGGACGGUAUUCUAUGAAUAUUUGCCACCUCAAUAACAGAUGGGUUAUAAGUGCUGCCCAGAAUUUUUUGUAGAUUUGUCUGACUUCUAAUAACUUGAAGGAUCCAGAUGGAGCCAAAGGAGAACAUGUUAGCCAUUUCAGGUACAUUGAUCUGACUCUACCUGAUACCUGAUUCUGUAUGGUGUAUUGAGUCCAGAGAAAGGAAGAAACUCAAAGGGAGACAACGAUUUCCAAAUCAAGAUGGCAGUUCCACUGCUGAGAGUUUCAGAUUGCAUGAUUGCUGAGUAUGCCCUUCCAAGAAAGGGAUUCUUUAACAUGGACUACGAUUGUCUAACCUACAGAAGAUUUGAGCUAAUUGUAAUCUUAUAUUCUGUUUUUAUUUUUUUUAAAUCUGUUUCCAGACUCUUGGGAUUAGCAUUCAGUUGGGGAUGAAGGGCUUGAAGGGGCUGAUCAAAUUUUGCAAACAGGAAUGUAUAAAAAUGUCUGUCCCAUAUAUAAUUGGCACAAGUGAAUUGCUAUUUAAAUAAAAGUAUUUUUUCCAUA